Myotis lucifugus (little brown bat) is the source of this 94-nucleotide small nuclear RNA. Its record names the gene U4. It matches the Rfam family "U4 spliceosomal RNA". Rfam says of the family: U4 small nuclear RNA (U4 snRNA) is a component of the major U2-dependent spliceosome. The structure of U4 snRNA from yeast and human has been reported. U4 snRNA presents a k-turn RNA motif in the 5p-SL related to recognition of Snu13 protein. NCBI's taxonomy places the organism in Eukaryota, Metazoa, Chordata, Mammalia, Chiroptera, Vespertilionidae. The record is from Ensembl.
AGCUUUGCACAGUUGCAGUAUCGUAGCCAAUGAGGUUUAUCUGAGGUACGAUUAUUGCUAAUUGGAAAAAAAAAAAAGAAUGGAGUUCUGACAC